GCAAAUUUAUGGCUAGUAAGAGUCUGAAUGAAAUAAAACUAAGAAAAAAAAUUGUAGUCAUUUCCAAAUAUGAUGUGAAGGGGAAAUAGCAAAGGGCAUCAUACAAUGAUUGAGUAAAGCAGUUGUGGAACAAGCUCAGUCAGUCCAGCAGAAAGCCAUCUUCCCCUUCACUAAGUCAACUAGUAGCUAAAAAAACUAGUUCAACACCCAUUGAUCUCACAUAUAAUGCUCCUAAACCAGGUGGGAACAUGAACCCCAAAGAAUUUAAAAAUGCAG
RNAcentral lists this long non-coding RNA (276 nucleotides) under Phaseolus vulgaris (common bean). RNAcentral's name for it is "long non-coding RNA (PVUL_LNC004433)". The record is from RNAcentral. Lineage: Eukaryota; Viridiplantae; Streptophyta; Magnoliopsida; Fabales; Fabaceae.